CGAUGAUAGCUUGCUAUCAGGCGUCGAGCGGCGGACGGGUGAGUAAUACUUAGGAAUCUACCUAGUAGUGGGGGAUAGCUCGGGGAAACUCGAAUUAAUACCGCAUACGACCUACGGGAGAAAGGGGGCAACUUGUUGCUCUCGCUAUUAGAUGAGCCUAAGUCGGAUUAGCUAGAUGGUGGGGUAAAGGCCUACCAUGGCGACGAUCUGUAGCUGGUCUGAGAGGAUGAUCAGCCACACCGGGACUGAGACACGGCCCGGACUCCUACGGGAGGCAGCAGUGGGGAAUAUUGGACAAUGGGGGCAACCCUGAUCCAGCCAUGCCGCGUGUGUGAAGAAGGCCUUUUGGUUGUAAAGCACUUUAAGCAGUGAAGAAGACUCCGUGGUUAAUACCCACGGACGAUGACAUUAGCUGCAGAAUAAGCACCGGCUAACUCUGUGCCAGCAGCCGCGGUAAUACAGAGGGUGCAAGCGUUAAUCGGAAUUACUGGGCGUAAAGCGAGCGUAGGUGGCUUGAUAAGUCAGAUGUGAAAUCCCCGGGCUUAACCUGGGAACUGCAUCUGAUACUGUUAGGCUAGAAUAGGUGAGAGGAAGGUAGAAUUCCAGGUGUAGCGGUGAAAUGCGUAGAGAUCUGGAGGAAUACCGAUGGCGAAGGCAGCCUUCUGGCAUCAUAUUGACACUGAGGUUCGAAAGCGUGGGUAGCAAACAGGAUUAGAUACCCUGGUAGUCCACGCCGUAAACGAUGUCUACUAGUCGUUGGGUCCCUUGAGGACUUAGUGACGCAGCUAACGCAAUAAGUAGACCGCCUGGGGAGUACGGCCGCAAGGUUAAAACUCAAAUGAAUUGACGGGGGCCCGCACAAGCGGUGGAGCAUGUGGUUUAAUUCGAUGCAACGCGAAGAACCUUACCUGGUCUUGACAUAUCUAGAAUCCUGCAGAGAUGCGGGAGUGCCUUCGGGAAUUAGAAUACAGGUGCUGCAUGGCUGUCGUCAGCUCGUGUCGUGA
RNAcentral lists this ribosomal RNA (1004 nucleotides) under Psychrobacter maritimus. RNAcentral describes it as "bacterial SSU rRNA". It matches the Rfam family "Bacterial small subunit ribosomal RNA", at positions 69 to 1070 of the family's 1533-position model. The record is from RNAcentral. Lineage: Bacteria; Pseudomonadati; Pseudomonadota; Gammaproteobacteria; Moraxellales; Moraxellaceae.